GUUUGGCAAGAGAGAACUAGAAAGAAUAGAAAAGAAAAUGGAAGGAAUCUGAGAGUUAUCUAAAAUAUAUUUGUGUAUUAUUCUUCAAUGCCCCAUUACAACUCAGCAAGUCCUAUUCAUAAUAAAAGUCAGAAACAAACUCAGCUACUUAUUAGAAAAUAAGCUAGAUGACUUCAGGUACUAACCGAUAACAUUUGACUCAAUAUUGACUCUUGUUUAUUACUUCUUUUUCUAAACUCCUUCCUAG
This 247-nucleotide unclassified non-coding RNA is filed under the name Hevea brasiliensis (rubber tree). The record is from RNAcentral. Lineage: Eukaryota; Viridiplantae; Streptophyta; Magnoliopsida; Malpighiales; Euphorbiaceae.